RNAcentral lists this unclassified non-coding RNA (546 nucleotides) under Hevea brasiliensis (rubber tree). Lineage: Eukaryota; Viridiplantae; Streptophyta; Magnoliopsida; Malpighiales; Euphorbiaceae. The record is from RNAcentral.
UCCAAUUUUGCUAGUAUUUACACAAAAAAAUUUCUUCCUCCCAUAUCUCCUCCAAGAAAACCCACACAUUAAUGUGCUAUUUCUUUCCACAUUUAAUGCCAGCCGAAGGAGGAAGAAAAUGCUCAGUUGUCAAACCCCAAACAUUGAAAUCUACAUCUUCAAUCUUCCAUUUCUCUUCCAUUUCCCUCUUGUGGUUUGCAGAUUGUUCUCCAUAUCUAAAAACCUUGACACGAGUUUUACCGCUAUGUGCAAUAUUAACUCCAUCAACGUACUUAUAGUCUUGCAUUACAGAUUCUGUGCUUGUCUCCCAGAAUACAUCAUCGUCGUCUUUGUUUCUCAUUCUUAGCAGCCUUGAGUCUUCAAAUUGAAUCAGAAGUCCUGAUCUUUGGCUAAAGUAUCCCCAUAUUGUGUGGUGAAUUAUCUCAUAGUUUGGUCCACUUUGUGCUUCGCGAAUUGCUGGACUUGUCUCUAGCUUUAGUAUAAAACAGUCUUCAUUGUUUAUUAUUUUCUCUCCAAUGCAUGUUGCAUCUAUAAAUAAGUUUGCUG